This 229-nucleotide ribosomal RNA is filed under the name uncultured bacterium. RNAcentral's name for it is "partial 16S ribosomal RNA". It matches the Rfam family "Bacterial small subunit ribosomal RNA", at positions 568 to 796 of the family's 1533-position model. The record is from RNAcentral.
UGCGCAGGUGGUUUUGUAAGUCAGAUGUGAAAGCCCCGGGCUCAACCUGGGAACUGCGUUUGAAACUACAAGACUAGAGUGUGGCAGAGGGGGGUGGAAUUCCGCGUGUAGCAGUGAAAUACGUAGAGAUGUGGAGGAACACCGAUGGCGAAGGCAGCCCCCUGGGUUAACACUGACGCUCAGGCACGAAAGCAUGGGGAGCAAACAGGAUUAGAUACCCUGGUAGUCC